CUAGUUGUCGGGUCUUAAUUGACUUGGUAACGCAGCUAACGCGUGAAGUAGACCGCCUGGGGAGUACGGUCGCAAGAUUAAAACUCAAAGGAAUUGACGGGGACCCGCACAAGCGGUGGAUGAUGUGGAUUAAUUCGAUGCAACGCGAAAAACCUUACCUACCCUUGACAUGGAUGGAAUCCCGAAGAGAUUUGGGAGUGCUCGAAAGAGAACCAUCACACAGGUGCUGCAUGGCUGUCGUCAGCUCGUGUCGUGAGAUGUUGGGUUAAGUCCCGCAACGAGCGCAACCCUUGUCAUUAGUUGCUACGAAAGGGCACUCUAAUGAGACUGCCGGUGACAAACCGGAGGAAGGUGGGGAUGACGUCAAGUCCUCAUGGCCCUUAUGGGUAGGGCUUCACACGUCAUACAAUGGUACAUACAGAGGGCCGCCAACCCGCGAGGGGGAGCUAAUCCCAGAAAGUGUAUCGUAGUCCGGAUUGGAGUCUGCAACUCGACUCCAUGAAGUUGGAAUCGCUAGUAAUCGCGGAUCAGCAUGUCGCGGUGAAUACGUUCCCGGGUCUUGUACACACCGCCCGUCACACCAUGGGAGCGGGUUUUACCAGAAGUGGGUAGCCUAACCGUAAGGAGGGCGCUCACCACGGUAGGAUUCGUGACUGGGGUGAAGUCGUA
This 669-nucleotide ribosomal RNA is filed under the name Herbaspirillum sp. ZYY40. RNAcentral describes it as "bacterial SSU rRNA". It matches the Rfam family "Bacterial small subunit ribosomal RNA", at positions 816 to 1490 of the family's 1533-position model. Lineage: Bacteria; Pseudomonadati; Pseudomonadota; Betaproteobacteria; Burkholderiales; Oxalobacteraceae. The record is from RNAcentral.